RNAcentral lists this ribosomal RNA (408 nucleotides) under Triticum aestivum (bread wheat). Its description in RNAcentral is "partial small subunit ribosomal RNA". The record is from RNAcentral. Lineage: Eukaryota; Viridiplantae; Streptophyta; Magnoliopsida; Poales; Poaceae.
AUGAAAAUGUUAAGUUGGAACUGUCGAGGCUUGGGUCAGCCUUGUACAGUUCAAGAGUUGGUGUGCCUCGAUAAUAUGUACAGACCCAAUGUUAUCUUCCUUUCAGAAACAAGAAAAAAUAAAGAGUAUGUUGAGUGCUCGCGCCACCGCUUGGGUAUGAGGAAUGUUUUCACUGUAUCUGUUCCAGGUAAAGAUGGGGGUCUUGUGUUAUGGGAUGAGCUUUUCUCAUUAGAAUUAAAUAAUUUUGGAGAUCACUUCAUUGACAUGUAUAUUCGUAAUGAAGAUGGUUCUUCCUGGAGGUGCGCCUUUAUUUAUGGGGAGUCAAAAGCGAGUCAAAGGUACGUUAUGUGGGAUCUCUUCAGGCGUGUGAAACAUCUUGGGGGUGAGUCCUUGGUCUUUGGUAGGUGA